This 400-nucleotide ribosomal RNA is filed under the name uncultured bacterium. Its description in RNAcentral is "partial 16S ribosomal RNA". The record is from RNAcentral.
ACGGGCGGAGUGUACAAGGCCCGGGAACGUAUUCACCGCGGCAUUCUGAUCCGCGAUUACUAGCGAUUCCAGCUUCAUGCAGUCGAGUUGCAGACUGCAAUCCGAACUGGGAUGGCUUUUCUGUGCUUGGCUCCCCAUCACUGGCUCGCUUCACUUUGUUACCACCAUUGUAGCACGUGUGUAGCCCAAAUCAUAAGGGGCAUGAUGAUUUGACGUCAUCCCCGCCUUCCUCCGGGUUAUCCCCGGCUGUCUCCCCAGAGUGCCCGGCUCUUCCGCUGGCUACUGAGGACAGGGGUUGCGCUCGUUGCGGGACUUAACCCAACAUCUCACGACACGAGCUGACGAAAACCAUGCACCACCUGUCUUGCCUGUCCCGUAGGAAAGGUGACGUUACUCACCG